Molecule: RNA transcript, 1420 nt
Organism: Oncorhynchus kisutch (coho salmon)
Lineage: Eukaryota; Metazoa; Chordata; Actinopteri; Salmoniformes; Salmonidae
Gene name: membrane magnesium transporter 1-like
Exons: 4
Source: RefSeq, a predicted model, not a curated record
GUGCAGGAAAUCCUGUCAGUGAAUGUUCCGCCAUCACAGGCCCCUGAGCUUGUGUAGGGAUGUAUUUAGCAGUGGACUGUGAUUGAAGAGGUGGGAUGGUUUUUCUUAGUUGACGUGUUUAAUUUUGUAUUAUAUCGUUUUUCCCACUUCCCGUAAUGUUUUUUUGUGUCUUAUUCAAUACCCCGUCCAGCUGGUGGUGGUAAUGCAACAUUAACAUUGGAUGCCAACCGCCCUUAAACCCCAUCGAAGAAGAAAAAUUAAUCACUUCUCUUGAACAUGGUUUCGUCUUUUUGGAGAGAUGUCGUAGGGGUUGGUCUAUUUGCCCUGGCUCAUGCUGCUUUCUCAGCGGCACAACAUCGAUCCUACAUGCGUCUGACAGAAAAAGAAAAUGAAACCCUACCGAUAGAUGUAAGUGAUUUAAUACUAAAUAGCAAAUUGUUUUACAGACUUUGUUAGCUUUUGUUCUGACCAUUUAUGGUAUUGUCCACAUCUCUGGAGAGUUUAAAGAUAUGGAUGCAUCCUCAGAGCUGAAAAACAAGACGUUUGACACAUUGAGGAACCACCCGUCUUUCUACAUGUUCAAUCAUCGUGGUAGGGUGCUCUUCUGCUCUCCCGACCGAGAAGUCUCCAACAUCCCAAACGCAGAGGCCCUGCGAAACCCCCUUCGGCUACGCAAGCUGAAGCAUUUGCACUGAGACUUGCCUUCCCCACCCACAUGUCUUUAUUUCUGUGCACAGAUAAGCUUUUUGGUUAGAACCCACAAAGUAAUUUCUUCUACUUUUAAUUUGCCUUAGUACAUAUAUUAAUAUGCUGUACAAAUGUGCAUCUCCUCCCAUAAAAGUGGUUACCAUAUUUAACUCCUGACUGUCAACCAACCCUACAGUUUUUCAUGCAGAUUUGUUUGUAUAUAAUUGUAAUUGCUUAGAAGUAAACGAAUUUGACACAUCUUCCCCUUACUUAGGUAAGGGUAGGGUAGGCUGUAUGUGUCAUCCUUUAAGACUUCCUAAGCAAGUGUUCCCCUUUUUUGGACAAGGGGCAUGAUGUUUUGUUUGCCACAAUACAGCUGUCGGGAACUAUUUAUUUCUUUUUUUAUCUGCAAAUAUGAGAUUUUGUUUUAUCUAAUAAAAAGUCUACACUUCUGUUGAGAUAAUUCAUGACCUGAUCUCCUGGAGUUUAAAAUUAGGCUUUGGUGCUUAUUCUGUAUGCAAUAAAGUUACCACGGUCAUUGAAGUCACAAAGGUCCAGCCUGAAGGAUGCAGCAUGGAAAGCAGAGUAAGUCAGUGUUCGAGCAAUGCUAAUGAUACUGUGAACACAAAGUAGAGACUAAUGGUACAUUUGUUUGGGCAGUGUUUUUUAUUUUAUUUGGCCUUUUUAAGAUUCAACAGAAUGUUUUAAAUUAAAAUCUAUGAUGUUGUCAGUG